Molecule: long non-coding RNA, 193 nt
Organism: Dreissena polymorpha
Lineage: Eukaryota; Metazoa; Mollusca; Bivalvia; Myida; Dreissenidae
Exons: 3
Source: RefSeq, a predicted model, not a curated record
GGUUGUCACAGCCAGGGCUAAAAGGUCUGCAACCAGAAAUGUCAAAAGAUAUGGAAAGAAGGUCAUGCUGCAGUGGAUUUGUUUACCUUGACAUUACUGAAGAUGUGGCUGUUUUCCUGCCUGCAUACAAGUUGAAUGGCUUAUGCUUGAAACGCAAGAAGAUGGAAGUCAAGACUGGUAAGGUUAAAAGGAA